AACCAGAGGAAGAAUUCGCAGCACAGACAGCACAUGCAACCACUUCAGUCAGUGGGGCCUGUUCAUGUUUUCUCUGCUUUCCUCCCUCUGGCUCUGGGUCCAGGUGACCUGGCAUCAAACACUGGGACUGUGUCCAGGCCCCCCUCCCAGCUGCCACUAGCCUGUCUGCCCCUAAAACCCCUGAUCUAAUGCUCCUCUCCAGUAGACAGCAUGUACAGACAUUUUUGCCCAUUUGGGGCUUUAUUGCUGCACUGCCAAAUGGCUAUUUGGAAAAAUUCAGGAUGGCUGUGAGCAUUAGGAGCGGAUAGCCUUCUCUGUCCUCUUAGAGGGAAAAGACAAACCCUGGAGGAGAAAGAGGAGUUGCUUGGGAAGAUGGGAGAAUGUAUCUCCAUAAAUGGCCAUGGUAGACAGUGCUCAUGGACAAGGUCUACUCCAAAUAUUUGUGACACAGAUGAGGACAUGGAGAGCUGCAGCAGGAAGCAGUUGGCACAGACUCUAGCUCAUGGCGAGCCAAUGCCAUGGGGACCCUGGAUGGGAGAGCAGAACAUUUUGAUCCUAUUCUCUUGAAUCCAGAUUAAAUCAGACAGUAACAACAACAAACAUAUGUAGCCUUUUCCAUAUGCUGGGCUCCAUUGUGAGGGCUUCUAUGUAUAUUAAUCAUUUCAUUACAUUUAGUCUUUGUGGUGGCUUUGUUGGAUAGGGACCAAUAUAUUUCCCAUUUUAGAGAAGAUCUAUGAAAAUAAUGCCUAUAAAAGGUAAAACAUCUUUGUCCGAAGCAGAGGGUAACUGUUCUAGUGAAUAUCCCAGGGCUUUGGGUAGUUCAAAUGGGAUCACAUCUGAGAAACAACUUGAGAGACUGUAAAGUGUUAUAUAUGCACAAGGGGGAGGUUCUUCUUACACCACAAUUUCUCCUGCAUCUUCUUUCUUCAUUUUUUUUUCUGAGCACCUGUGAGAUGAAUGGGUAAAGCCAAUACUCCAACGGAAUGGAUGAGAGAGACCCAGGCUCUCCCUCAGACUGACCUGCUACAAGGAAAGGAGGACACCCAGACUGAGAUCCAAGGCAAUGGGCCACCCAUCAAAGCAGAAUCCCGACCCAACUUUUGGUGGAGAUUGGGGAAUGGCCUUCAAUUCCAUCCAGAAUCCAGCAACUCCAGGAGAGGAACGUUCUGUAACUCCACCCGCUGCAUCAGUGAGCCUGCUCGCCUACCCUGUAUAAGGAUGCUCCCAAUUCUGCUCAGCCACUUGGACUUUGGAUUAAAAACUCCUCUGAGUGCACCUGCAU
Fukomys damarensis (Damara mole-rat) is the source of this 1282-nucleotide long non-coding RNA. NCBI's taxonomy places the organism in Eukaryota, Metazoa, Chordata, Mammalia, Rodentia, Bathyergidae. The record is from Ensembl.